This 497-nucleotide ribosomal RNA is filed under the name uncultured Eubacteriales bacterium. Its description in RNAcentral is "bacterial SSU rRNA". It matches the Rfam family "Bacterial small subunit ribosomal RNA", at positions 12 to 507 of the family's 1533-position model. Lineage: Bacteria; Bacillati; Bacillota; Clostridia; Eubacteriales. The record is from RNAcentral.
UUUGAUCCUGGCUCAGGAUGAACGCUGGCGGCGUGCCUAACACAUGCAAGUCGAACGGGGCGCGCAGGCUGAGGCUUUUCGGAGCGGAAGCCGGCGCUGCCCAGUGGCGGACGGGUGAGUAACGCGUGGGCAACCUGCCCUGCACUGGGGGACAACAGCCGGAAACGGCUGCUAAUACCGCAUAUGCCCGCAGCCCCGCAUGGGGCGGCGGGGGAAGCUCCGGCGGUGCAGGAUGGGCCCGCGUCUGAUUAGCUGGUUGGCGGGGCAACGGCCCACCAAGGCGACGAUCAGUAGCCGGCCUGAGAGGGUGGGCGGCCACAUUGGGACUGAGACACGGCCCAGACUCCUACGGGAGGCAGCAGUGGGGGAUAUUGCACAAUGGGGGGAACCCUGAUGCAGCGACGCCGCGUGGGCGAUGGAGUGCUUCGGCAUGUAAAGCCCUAUCAGCAGGGAAGAAAAUGACGGUACCUGACUAAGAAGCCCCGGCUAAAUACGUG